UAGGUGAACCUUCGGAAGGAUCAUUACCGAGUGAGGGCCCUCUGGGUCCAACCUCCCACCCGUGUCUAUCGUACCUUGUUGCUUCGGCGGGCCCGCCGUUUCGACGGCCGCCGGGGAGGCCUUGCGCCCCCGGGCCCGCGCCCGCCGAAGACCCCAACAUGAACGCUGUUCUGAAAGUAUGCAGUCUGAGUUGAUUAUCGUAAUCAGUUAAAACUUUCAACAACGGAUCUCUUGGUUCCGGCAUCGAUGAAGAACGCAGCGAAAUGCGAUAAGUAAUGUGAAUUGCAGAAUUCAGUGAAUCAUCGAGUCUUUGAACGCACAUUGCGCCCCCUGGUAUUCCGGGGGGCAUGCCUGUCCGAGCGUCAUUGCUGCCCUCAAGCACGGCUUGUGUGUUGGGCCCCCGUCCCCCUCUCCCGGGGGACGGGCCCGAAAGGCAGCGGCGGCACCGCGUCCGGUCCUCGAGCGUAUGGGGCUUUGUCACCUGCUCUGUAGGCCCGGCCGGCGCCAGCCGACACCCAACUAUAU
This 525-nucleotide ribosomal RNA is filed under the name Aspergillus fumigatus. RNAcentral's name for it is "eukaryotic LSU rRNA". The stretch from base 212 to 365 matches the Rfam family "5.8S ribosomal RNA". Lineage: Eukaryota; Fungi; Ascomycota; Eurotiomycetes; Eurotiales; Aspergillaceae. The record is from RNAcentral.